CAAGGAAUUUUCGUCAAUGGGCGCAAGCCUGAACGAGCAACGCCGCGUGCAGGAUGACGGCCUUCGGGUUGUAAACUGCUUUUUCGGGGGACGAUGAUGACGGUACCCCGGGAAUAAGGCUCGGCUAACUCUGUGCCAGCAGCCGCGGUAAUACAGAGGAGCCAAGCGUUGUCCGGAUUGACUGGGCGUAAAGCGCACGCAGGCGGUCUGGCGCGUGGGGUGUGAAAUCUGGCCGCUUAACGGCCAGGCGCCAUCCCAUACGGCCGGACUGGAGCCAUGCAGAGGGCGGUGGAAUUGCCGGUGUAGUGGUGAAAUGCGUAGAGAUCGGCAGGAACACCCAGGGGGAAACCAGCCGCCUGGGCAUGCGCUGACGCUGAGGUGCGAGAGCGUGGGGAGCGAACCGG
This 404-nucleotide ribosomal RNA is filed under the name bacterium. RNAcentral describes it as "partial 16S ribosomal RNA". It matches the Rfam family "Bacterial small subunit ribosomal RNA", at positions 355 to 776 of the family's 1533-position model. The record is from RNAcentral.